GCCACAGGUCGGCCCAAGAAUCAGCCCACAGUGUGUCUGGGCGUCAGAUGGUGACGUCCCGUGGAGAGCGCAGGCUCUGACACAGAUUCCACACUCCCAAGCGCCCACCUCGGACACCCUCUGGGCUUCUGCAUUACUUGGCACUGACCGCUUCCUGCACCGGGCUUCCAGUGGGCCUUUUUGGCCAGUCCAGGUGAACUUUUAAGAAAGCAAAGAGCUAUAAAAUACCUUGAUUGUUCUAACUCCAGUGAACUGCAGAUCUAUGAAGAAGCAACGGCUCUUCCAUCAUUCUUCAAUCCUGAAAAUAAAACUAGAAACUUGGAUUCAUAUCUGGCUCUACUGUAUUAUGUGACUGGAAUAAAAUCACUGUGAUUGUAAACUUUUUCAAGUAUUUCAUAAUUUUCAGUCUUGCCUUCUAACGUCAACACCUGC
Molecule: long non-coding RNA, 432 nt
Organism: Bos taurus (domestic cattle)
Lineage: Eukaryota; Metazoa; Chordata; Mammalia; Artiodactyla; Bovidae
Source: Ensembl